Non-coding RNA from Labrus bergylta (ballan wrasse), 491 nucleotides. The record is from RefSeq and is a predicted model, not a curated record. Lineage: Eukaryota; Metazoa; Chordata; Actinopteri; Labriformes; Labridae.
CUACAGACACUGUUUAUAUGAUAUGUGAACACCAAGAACACCUCUCCUCUGUUAAUUCAGGGAACAGGAAGUUAUAAAGGAAACAGGAAGUUCAGGGUUCUUUCUCUAAUCUGCACACAGCACGCAGCAACAGAAAUGUAAGUUCCUGUACUGAAGUUAAGGUUUAGCAUUAGCAUGUAGCUUAGCAUUAGCAACAACUUGUAUUAGUUUAUUGUUUGAAUUUAUACAGAACUUUGGUAAUGACUAAACUUCUUGUGUCUUGUAGUUUUCACUCCUUCAAUCUGGUGAAGAAAUGAAAAGAGGAGAUCAUCUCUUUCCUCCCUUCAGCUGUUUGUACAGGUUGCUCCUCCUCGUAUUUGAUCCGCUCGUGGCAACAAUAUUAUUUGACUUUUCUUUCACAAAGCUGAACUGUACCUGUAGGUCUGUCUUGAUGAGCGAGGCUCCUGCUUGGACCAGAUAAUGACAGAUAGUUCUUUGAGACAGGGACGCAG